Small nuclear RNA from Paramisgurnus dabryanus, 116 nucleotides. RefSeq annotates it as U5 spliceosomal RNA. NCBI's taxonomy places the organism in Eukaryota, Metazoa, Chordata, Actinopteri, Cypriniformes, Cobitidae. The record is from RefSeq and is a predicted model, not a curated record.
ACACUCAUGUUUCACCUCAAAUCGUAUAAAUCUUUCGCCUUUUACUAAAGAUUUCCGUGGGGAGGAACACAAUGAGUCUAAAUUAAUUUUUUGUCGCCCUACUUCAACGUAGGGCU